CCGGAUUUUCUUCUACCUAUUCCACGUACCAGAAUUAGAUUACAUGAGAAUACAAAAAAUGUAAGCAAACACUUUUUUCUUCUGCAGAACAAUAGAUGAGGUUAAUUAACUUUGGUGCUUCUCUCUUUGCAAAGCAUGUGCCACUCCUGGAGUACAGCUGCUUGAAGAGCCAUGUGCUCAACCUCCUCUGCAGUCAGCCUUGAUAAGGUUGAUGAUCCUUUGGGUUUACCAUCUUUCUUUUCCUUGUUCUUUUCCUCCUUAUCCUUAUCUUCCUCAGGUUCCUCUUCAUCAUCAGAUUCUGGAGAUUUAGGAGGUGGUUCGGCUGCUUUUAGCAAGGCUAUCCGUUCCAUUGAAAUCCUAAGCCUCUCAGCUGCAGCCUCCUUCACUUCAUCUUCAGGCAUGUACUCCACACCCCCGUCAGUAAGGUCAUCCAACCAACCCUGUAA
This 446-nucleotide unclassified non-coding RNA is filed under the name Hevea brasiliensis (rubber tree). Lineage: Eukaryota; Viridiplantae; Streptophyta; Magnoliopsida; Malpighiales; Euphorbiaceae. The record is from RNAcentral.